GACGAACGCUGGCGGCGUGCCUAACACAUGCAAGUCGAACGGAAAGGCCCUGCUUUUGUGGGGCGCUCGAGUGGCGAACGGGUGAGUAACACGUGAGGAGCCCGCCCCUGACUUUGGGAUAACUCCAGGAAACUGGGGCUAAUACCGGAUAGGAGCUCUUGCUGCAUGGUGGGGGAUGGAAAGUUUCGGCGGUUGGGGAUGGACUCGCGGCUUAUCAGCUGGUUGGGGAGGUAGUGGCUUACCAAGGCUUUGACGGGUAGCCGGCCUGGGAGGGUUACCGGCCACAUUGGGACUAAGAGACGGACCAGACUGCUACGGGAGGCAACAGUGGGGAGUCUUGCGCAAUGGGCGGAAGCCUGAUGCGACAACGCCGCGUGCGGAAUGACGGGCUUCGGGUUGUAAACCGCUUUCGCCUGUGACGAAGCGUGAGUGACGGUAAUGGGUCAAGAAGCACCGGCUAACUACGUG
This 468-nucleotide ribosomal RNA is filed under the name uncultured bacterium. Its description in RNAcentral is "partial 16S ribosomal RNA". It matches the Rfam family "Bacterial small subunit ribosomal RNA", at positions 28 to 507 of the family's 1533-position model. The record is from RNAcentral.